RNAcentral lists this ribosomal RNA (5697 nucleotides) under Triticum aestivum (bread wheat). Its description in RNAcentral is "partial small subunit ribosomal RNA". Lineage: Eukaryota; Viridiplantae; Streptophyta; Magnoliopsida; Poales; Poaceae. The record is from RNAcentral.
AUGGCGCCGCACGGCGACAGGAAGAAGGGGAAGGGCGCGGACCGCCCGGGCAAGCCGGGGCUGGGCCCCAACCGCAAGGAGUUCAAAAACCACCGCAAGGAGGAAGGGGAGAAGGCGGGCGGCGCAGAGGAGCAGGAGCAGGAGCAGCAGCCGGCGCCGCACCCGGCGGCUCUGUUCAACGCCGCCGACGACGGUGACUUCCCCAGAGGAGGGCGCAGCCUCCUGAGCAGGGACGAGAUGGCCGAGGCGCGCACCGAGGCCGAGGUGGAGUUCGAGAAGGAGGAGAGGAGGGGGAAGAAGAAGAGGAAAGCCAACGUCUCUUCAGGAAUCGACGGCGAUGAUGACCUCGGGACCCUCUUCGGCGGGGCUACCACUGGGAAGCUCCCACGCUUCGCCAAUCGCAUCACCUUGAAGAAUAUUUCACCAAGCAUGAAGCUUUGGGGUGUUGUAAUCGAAGUUAACCAAAAAGACAUUAUAGUGAGUCUACCUGGCGGAAUGAGAGGGUUUGUUCGCACAGAGGAAGUUUCGGACAUUGCUUUGCAUGGAAAUAGCAAGGAUAAUGAGGGCAGUGUAUGUGCUGAAGUUGUUCAUGUUGGUCAGCUGGUACCUUGUAUGGUUCUGCAAGUUGAUGAUGAUAAGAAAGAAGGAAAAGCACACAAGCGGGUUUGGUUAUCAUUGCGGUUGAGCCGGAUGUACAAGGGUCUUUCUCUGGAUGCUAUCCAGGAUGGAAUGGUGCUCACUGCUCAAGUGAAAAGCGUCGAGGACCAUGGUUACAUUCUUUAUUUCGGAGUAUCCACAUUUAGUGGAUUUAUGCCAAAAGCUGGCAAAGAAACUGUGAAGAUUGAGAGCGGGCAACUCAUACAAUGUGUCGUGAAGGGGAUUGAUAAAGCUCGCUCUAUUAUUCACUUGAGUUCUGAUGAAGACUUGAUCUCUAAAUCCAUUAUUAAAGAUCUGAAAGGCCUUUCCAUUGAUCAUCUAAUUCCUGGCAUGAUGAUGAGUGCACGUGUUCAUUCAGUCCUUGAAAAUGGAGUUAUGCUAUCAUUUCUUACUUACUUCACUGGAACGGCUGAUAUUUUUAAUUUGUCGAGCUCCUUCCCUUCUGGUAAUUGGAAAGAUGAUUACAGCAAGAAUAAGAAGGUAAAUGCCCGCAUCUUGUUUGUUGAUCCGUCAACAAGAGCAGUUGGGCUUACAUUGAACCAACACUUACUUCGUCUUAAUGUACCCCCUAUUAAUGUUAAAGUUGGAGAAAUAUAUGACAAAUCACGGGUGCUGAGGGUGGAUAAAAAAGCUGGUCUUUUUCUUGAAAUACCUUCUCCAACUCCAUCACCUGGAUUUGUUAGUAUACACGAUGUAUCAGACAAGGAUGUGAAGAAUGUGGAGAAGAAGUUUAGGGAAGGCAGCUUGACACGUGUCCGUGUACUUGGAGUGCGACAUCUUGAAGGAGUUGCACUAGGCACACUAAAAGACAGUGCUUUUGAAGGUUCUGUUUUCACUCAUGCUGAUGUCAAACCAGGAAUGGUAGUGAGAGCUAAGGUUGUUACUGUUGAGCCUUUUGGCGCAAUUGUGCAGUUUUCAAGUGGUGUGAAAGCACUUUGUCCACUUCCUCACAUGUCUGAGUUAGAUAACAUUGUAAAGCCACCGAAGAAAUUUAAGGCUGGAGCUGAACUACUUUUUCGUGUUUUGGGUUGCAAAUCCAAGAGAAUAACAGUGACAUACAAGAAGUCUCUGGUCAAAUCAAAACUUGAAGUGUUGGCCUCGUAUGCUGAUGCCAAGAUUGGUUUAGUGACUCAUGGAUGGAUUACUAAAAUAGAAAAGCAUGGGUGCUUCGUGAGAUUUUACAAUGGAGUUCAGGGGUUUGUUAGCAGAUCUGAACUUGGACUAGAGCCAGGCAUUGAAGCUGAAAGUGUUUAUCAUGUUGGACAAGUUGUCAAAUGUAGAAUUGUAAGCGUGGUCCCCACUUCAAGGAAACUAUAUGUUAGUUUUACAAUGUCUUCUAAUAGGGUCAUUCAAGCUGAUACUGCAAAGGUGGGUACAAUUGUCUCUGGUGUUGUGGAGCGACUUACUCCUGCAACUGUUGUGGUCAGUGUCAAUGGCUUCUCCAAGGGAUCUAUACUUAAUGAACAGUUGGCAGAUCAUCAUGGCCAAGCUGCUCAGUUGAAGAAUUUGUUGAAGCCUGGCCAUGAGUUCAACCAGCUUUUAGUUCUUGAUACUGAAGGCCAAAAUUUAGUUCUUUCCGCUAAACACUCACUUAUCAACACUGCAAAUGACAUUCCAUCAGAGAUAUCACAGAUGCAAGCAGGAGCUGUAGUUCAUGGUUACAUUUGCAACAUCAUCGAAGCUGGUUGUUUUGUUCGCUUUCUUGGACAUCUAACUGGUUUCUCUCCCAAGGAUAAAGCGGUUGACAGGCCGAUAGAAAAGCUUUCUGAUGUGUUCUGUGUUGGCCAAUCAGUUCGUAGUCAUGUCCUCAAUGUGAAUGCAGAAUCUGCUCGAGUAAAGCUUUCACUCCAACAGUCCAUGUGCUCUUCACCUGAUUGUUCAUUUAUUCAAGGAUAUUUUCUUCUCGAUCAGAAGAUUGCCGCAUUGAAGUAUUCAGGUCCUAGUACUUCUCAUGAUUGGGUGAAAUAUUUUGGCAUUGGUAGCUUGGUUAAGGGUGAGGUGGGAGCAAUAGAAGAAUAUGGUGUUAUCCUUAACUUCAAAGACCAUCCGGAUGUUGUUGGUCUAAUUGAACAUCAUCAGCUUGGUGGCAGUACUGUAAAAGUGGGUUCUUCUGUGAAGGGUCUUGUUGUGGAUUUAUCUGAUGGAGUUGUAAAUUUAUCGCUUAAACCUGAACUAGUUGGCAGUGUCAGCAAGGAUGGGAAAAAGAAGAAACGUCACAGAGCUGCGGUUUUGGACUUGGAGCUUCGGGAAGAAGUCAAUGCAGUUGUGGAGAUAGUCAAAGACAGCUAUGUGGUUCUUUCUGUCCCUGAGUAUAAUCAUGCAAUAGGCUUUGCACCGUUGAUGGAUUACAACUCACAAUUGCUUCCUCAACAUCACUAUGAUAAUGGGCAGUGCAUUACCGUUGUCGUUGGAAGUAUCCCAAGUUCUGACCCUUCUGGAAGACUUAUCCUUCUCCCGAAAGGAUCAGCCCAGGAUUCUAAUAUCUCUAGUUCUAAAAGGGCUAAGAAGAAAUCAGACUACAAAGUUGGGUCACUUGUUGAAGCAGAGAUUAUUGAUAUCAAGCCGCUUGAGGUUAUUUUGAAAUUUGGUGUCAAUCUUCAUGGAAGGAUUCAUAUUACUGAGGUCCUUGAAGAAGAUUGCAGCGAGCAUCCCUUUAGUAAACUCAAAAUCGGGCAAAAGGUCCAUGCAAGAAUUGUUGCACAAGCUGAACAUUCAGCAAAAACUGGCAGAAAUUUGAAAUGGGAACUAUCUAUUAAGCCAUCCUUGCUUAAAGCAGACUUGGAAGAAUCAACUGCAUCUGAAGCUGAAUUGAAUCACUCAAUUAAUGACAUCAUACGUGCUUAUGUCGUCAAGGUGGAUGCGGAAUGGGUCUGGUUAACUGUAUCCAGAAAGGUUAUGGCACAUUUAUUUAUUCUUGAUAGUUCAGUUGAGCCGAGCGAACUAAAAGAGUUCCAACAGCGUUAUAGUGUCGGUCAAGCAGUGAAAGGACGCAUUAUUGGGGUGAACAGAGAGAAAAGGUUGUUGAGGCUGAAAGCGUUUGAUAACCAAUGCAUGCUCGAGAAUAUAGAUGACACACAAAAAACAGUAUCUUCUAUUGCUGAACACACGAAGGAAGGAGAUGUCAUUGGUGGACGCAUCCAAAGGAUUCUACCUGGUGUUGGUGGGCUUGUCAUCCAGAUUGGACCUCAUCUUCAUGGAAGAGUUCAUUAUACUGAAAUUGUUGAUUUGUGGGUACCUGAACCCCUAUCUGGGAUCCAUGAAGGUCAAUUUGUAAAGUGCAAGGUCCUGGCUGUAAGCCGCCAAGCUGAAGGAUCUGUCCGAGUUGACCUAUCACUUCGCUCAAGAAAACUUGGUGAUUCGACAACUUGCGCUCCCCGGUUUGAGAAGAUCAACGAUCUGUGCCCUGGUACAGAGGUUAAGGGUUAUGUGAAGAAUGUGAAUCCCAAAGGGUGUUUCAUCAUGCUUUCUCGAAUGGUUGAGGCUAGGAUUAUUUUGUCAAAUCUGUCAGAUGAGUAUGUCGAAAAUCCUCAGAAGGAUUUCUCAGUUGGAAUGCUUGUACAGGGAAGGGUAUUGUCUGCGGAACCACUAUCAGGGAAAGUUGAGGUAUCACUUAGGAAGAGCACUGGUAGCAAAUCACAGAAGUUGGAUGAUGUUAGCUACAGUGACCUGCAUGUUGGGGACAUCGUUGAUGGUCAAGUUAAACGGGUUGAAUCCUAUGGAUUAUUUGUGACAAUCAAGAGCAGUGAACUGGUGGGCUUGUGUCAUGUAUCAGAACUUUCUGAUGAACCAGUUCUUGAUAUCAACGCUUGCUACAAAGCUGGCGAUAUUGUUAAAGCUAAAAUUUUGAAGAUUGACGAGGAUCGACACCGAGUAUCCCUUGGCCUUAAGGAAUCUUACUUUGACUCUGAUCUGACUGAUGAUGAAAAUGGCAACGAGAAUGAUGGUGGAAGGGUUCCCAUGGACAUCAGCCGUGCCCCUCAGAUGUCUGGAGGUUUUAACAGCACUUUAGUUCUUCCUGGACCUGAACCCAGGGCUUCUGUUCCCCCACUUCAGGUCGCCUUGGACGAAUACGAAGGUUCUGACCAAGAGGGUGAUCAGAAAGCUCAUGAAAUUGCUAAUGGAAGUGAACCAAAUGUAAAAAAGAGCGAUAGACGGUUAAAGGAGAAGGCGAGAAAACAAAGGGAAAUAGAAAUCAGUGCCUUGGAGGAAAGGGCUUUACAGAAAGAUAUACCACAGACUCCAGAUGAAUUCGAAAAGUUGGUGAGGACCUCUCCAAAUAGUAGCUUCGUCUGGAUAAAGUAUAUGGCAUUUUUGUUAGACCUUGCGGAUGUCGAGAAAGCACGUUCAGUAGCUGAAAGGGCUUUGAGAACAAUAAACAUUAGAGAGGAGGAGGAGAAACUCAAUGUAUGGGUAGCAUACUUCAACCUUGAAAAUGAGUACGGGAGUCCACGGGAGGAUGCUGUCAAGAAGAUAUUCCAAAGAGCCCUGCAGUAUUGUGAUCCCAAAAAGGUGCACUUGGCUCUUCUUGGAAUGUACGAGAGGACUAAACAGAAUGAACUGGCAGAUGAACUGUUUGAUAGAAUGACCAAAAGAUUCAAAACUUCGUGCAAGAUCUGGUUGCGCCGCAUUCAGUUCUCUCUCACUCAAGGCAAGGAUGUUGAAUACAUCAAAUCUGUCGUAAACCGUGCGCUUCUUAGUCUGCCACAAAACAAGCGUAUAAAGUUUCUCACGCAGACUGCUAUCCUGGAGUUCAAGUGUGGGGUGGCUGAGGAAGGGAGAUCCAGAUUUGAGCUGAUCCUAAGGGAGUAUCCGAAAAGAACAGAUAUUUGGAGUGUUUACCUAGACCAGGAAAUUCGACUUGGUGACACGGAAAUUAUACGGGCAUUAUUUGAUAGGGUGACAUGCCUUAGUCUUCCUCCAAGAAAGAUGAAGUUCUUGUUCAAGAAAUACCUGCGAUAUGAGAAGGCUCAGGGCGAUGAAGAAAGAAUCAAGCAUGUGAAGCAGAAGGCAAUGGAGUUCGUUGAGAUUUGUAGAGCCUGA